This 402-nucleotide ribosomal RNA is filed under the name bacterium. Its description in RNAcentral is "partial 16S ribosomal RNA". It matches the Rfam family "Bacterial small subunit ribosomal RNA", at positions 355 to 776 of the family's 1533-position model. The record is from RNAcentral.
UGGGGAAUUUUGCACAAUGGGGGAAACCCUGAUGCAGCGACGCCGCGUGAUUUAGAAGGCCUUCGGGUUGUAAAAAUCUUUUCUAUGGGAAGAAAAUGACAGUACCAUAGGAAUAAGGACCGGCUAAUUACGUGCCAGCAGCCGCGGUAAUACGUAAGGUCCGAGCGUUGUCCGGAAUCAUUGGGCGUAAAGGGUACGUAGGCGGGUAAGCAAGUUAGAAGUGAAAUCGUAUAGCUCAACUAUAGUAAGCUUUUAAAACUGCUCAUCUUGAGGUAUGGAAGGGAAAGUGGAAUUCCUAGUGUAGCGGUGAAAUGCGCAGAUAUUAGGAGGAGUACCGGUGGCGAAGGCGACUUUCUGGCCAUAACCUGACGCUGAGGUACGAAAGCGUGGGUAGCAAACAGG